CCUACGGGCGGCAGCAGUGGGGAAUUUUGGACAAUGGGCGCAAGCCUGAUCCAGCCAUGCCGCGUGCGGGAAGAAGGCCUUCGGGUUGUAAACCGCUUUUGUCAGGGAAGAAAAGGUUCUGGUUAAUACCUGGGACUCAUGACGGUACCUGAAGAAUAAGCACCGGCUAACUACGUGCCAGCAGCCGCGGUAAUACGUAGGGUGCAAGCGUUCAUCGGAAUUACUGGGCGUAAAGCGUGCGCAGGCGGUUUUGCAAGACAGCGGUGAAAGUCACGGGCUCAACCUGGGAACUGCUUUUGGGACUGCAGAGCUAGAGUACGGUAGAGGGGGAUGGAAUUCCGCGUGUAGCAGUGAAAUGCGUAGAUAUGGGGAGGAACACCGAUGGCGAAGGCAAUCCCCUGGACCUGUACUGACGCUCAUGCACGAAGGCGUGGGGAGCAAACAGGAUUAGAUACCCUGGUAGUC
RNAcentral lists this ribosomal RNA (465 nucleotides) under uncultured Roseateles sp. RNAcentral describes it as "bacterial SSU rRNA". It matches the Rfam family "Bacterial small subunit ribosomal RNA", at positions 338 to 795 of the family's 1533-position model. Lineage: Bacteria; Pseudomonadati; Pseudomonadota; Betaproteobacteria; Burkholderiales; Sphaerotilaceae. The record is from RNAcentral.